AUGCGUGGUCCUCGAAAACCGCGAACUAGGGACCACUGGAAAAUCAUCAGUCGAGCCCCGGAGGAUAACCGAAGGGAGCUAGCGGAUGAAUUUCUUCUGCCGCAUAGGUCUCCGCACCUCUUGCAGCACUUUCCCCGUGCACCCUCGUCUGAUUGUGUCCCCCUUUUGCUCCUUCUCUCACAAAUCCGAUGCUUGCGCACAAGUCGCGCAAAAUGCAACUCGAACGUGGAAUACAUAUUUUCAGGCCGCUUUCGUCGUCGACGAAUAAGCACGAAGAAGGGGCAUGCAUCGGACGAUCAGCACAGUCGAUGUCAUUUUCUCGCGUAUGGCGCGCGGCGUCGCGUUUAAUUCGCGCGAUUGAUUACGCGCAAAGAGAGUUAGACCUGGCCUCCGUCCGGAUUCCGUCUUACUCGAAUUUCCGCCCUGUCUCGGCCGCGAGACAACUGUUUGUUCGUUGUCGCGAAACUGCAUGUAGUCCGUUGCAGCUGGAAUUCGAAACAAAACUCGAGCCAGACUCAGGAUCGGGGAGACUCUGGCUCUUGCGGUAAAUAAAAAAUGAAAAAGGAAGAGAAGCAGCGAAUAGUCGCAGAAUGGAAAAGUGGGUAGGCAACGACACUCAACGGUUGUGCAACUGUUGUGAGUGAUUUCGUCCUGAACGCCACUGAGCGAUGCGCUCACUCGCAAUAUGUUGAGUGAGCGGUCGCCAUUUUUCCCGUCAUAAAUAUUCGUCGCUACCAUUACUCAUCAGUCACCGAUCCGACAUGGCGCAGCCCAUAAAUGAAGAGAAUAACAAAGAAAAUAGUUAUAUAAAUUCAAAUAUAUCCGAGAUCUUUUGGAAACGAAAAAUUGUGAAGAUUGGUCAAAUCAA
This 868-nucleotide unclassified non-coding RNA is filed under the name Harpegnathos saltator (Jerdon's jumping ant). Its description in RNAcentral is "uncharacterized LOC112589351, transcript variant X3". The record is from RNAcentral. Lineage: Eukaryota; Metazoa; Arthropoda; Insecta; Hymenoptera; Formicidae.